GUGUAUGGCGCAGCCUACACAUGCAGUCCGAACGGUAGCACAGAGAGCUUGCUCUCGGGUGACGAGUGGCGGACGGGUGAGUAAUGUCUGGGAAACUGCCUGAUGGAGGGGGAUAACUACUGGAAACGGUAGCUAAUACCGCAUAACGUCGCAAGACCAAAGAGGGGGACCUUCGGGCCUCUUGCCAUCAGAUGUGCCCAGAUGGGAUUAGCUAGUAGGUGGGGUAACGGCUCACCUAGGCGACGAUCCCUAGCUGGUCUGAGAGGAUGACCAGCCACACUGGAACUGAGACACGGUCCAGACUCCUACGGGAGGCAGCAGUGGGGAAUAUUGCACAAUGGGCGCAAGCCUGAUGCAGCCAUGCCGCGUGUAUGAAGAAGGCCUUCGGGUUGUAAAGUACUUUCAGCGGGGAGGAAGGUGUUGUGGUUAAUAACCGCAGCAAUUGACGUUACCCGCAGAAGAAGCACCGGCUAACUCCGUGCCAGCAGCCGCGGUAAUACGGAGGGUGCAAGCGUUAAUCGGAAUUACUGGGCGUAAAGCGCACGCAGGCGGUCUGUCAAGUCGGAUGUGAAAUCCCCGGGCUCAACCUGGGAACUGCAUUCGAAACUGGCAGGCUGGAGUCUUGUAGAGGGGGGUAGAAUUCCAGGUGUAGCGGUGAAAUGCGUAGAGAUCUGGAGGAGUACCGGUGGCGAAGGGGGCC
Molecule: ribosomal RNA, 700 nt
Filed under: Enterobacter cloacae
Lineage: Bacteria; Pseudomonadati; Pseudomonadota; Gammaproteobacteria; Enterobacterales; Enterobacteriaceae
Description: bacterial SSU rRNA
Rfam family: Bacterial small subunit ribosomal RNA
Source: RNAcentral